Molecule: ribosomal RNA, 2930 nt
Filed under: Enterobacter hormaechei subsp. xiangfangensis
Lineage: Bacteria; Pseudomonadati; Pseudomonadota; Gammaproteobacteria; Enterobacterales; Enterobacteriaceae
Description: bacterial LSU rRNA
Rfam family: Bacterial large subunit ribosomal RNA
Source: RNAcentral
GGGUUGUGAGGUUAAGCGACUAAGCGUACACGGUGGAUGCCCUGGCAGUCAGAGGCGAUGAAGGACGUGCUAAUCUGCGAAAAGCGACGGCGAGGUGAUAUGAACCUUUGACCCGUCGAUGUCCGAAUGGGGAAACCCAGUGUGUUUCGACACACUAUCGUUAACUGAAUACAUAGGUUAACGAGGCGAACCGGGGGAACUGAAACAUCUAAGUACCCCGAGGAAAAGAAAUCAACCGAGAUUCCCCCAGUAGCGGCGAGCGAACGGGGAGCAGCCCGGAGUCUGAAUCAGCUUGUGUGUUAGUGGAACGGUCUGGAAAGUCCGACGGUACAGGGUGAUAGUCCCGUACACGAAAAUGCACAUGCUGUGAACUCGAAGAGUAGGGCGGGACACGUGGUAUCCUGUCUGAAUAUGGGGGGACCAUCCUCCAAGGCUAAAUACUCCUGACUGACCGAUAGUGAACCAGUACCGUGAGGGAAAGGCGAAAAGAACCCCGGCGAGGGGAGUGAAAAAGAACCUGAAACCGUGUACGUACAAGCAGUGGGAGCACCUUCGGGUGUGACUGCGUACCUUUUGUAUAAUGGGUCAGCGACUUAUAUUCUGUAGCAAGGUUAACCGUAUAGGGGAGCCGAAGGGAAACCGAGUCUUAACUGGGCGUUAAGUUGCAGGGUAUAGACCCGAAACCCGGUGAUCUAGCCAUGGGCAGGUUGAAGGUUGGGUAACACUAACUGGAGGACCGAACCGACUAAUGUUGAAAAAUUAGCGGAUGACCUGUGGCUGGGGGUGAAAGGCCAAUCAAACCGGGAGAUAGCUGGUUCUCCCCGAAAGCUAUUUAGGUAGCGCCUCGUGAACUCAUCUUCGGGGGUAGAGCACUGUUUCGGCUAGGGGGCCAUCCCGGCUUACCAACCCGAUGCAAACUACGAAUACCGAAGAAUGUUAUCACGGGAGACACACGGCGGGUGCUAACGUCCGUCGUGAAGAGGGAAACAACCCAGACCGCCAGCUAAGGUCCCAAAGUCAUGGUUAAGUGGGAAACGAUGUGGGAAGGCACAGACAGCCAGGAUGUUGGCUUAGAAGCAGCCAUCAUUUAAAGAAAGCGUAAUAGCUCACUGGUCGAGUCGGCCUGCGCGGAAGAUGUAACGGGGCUAAACCAUGCACCGAAGCUGCGGCAGCGACACUAUGUGUUGUUGGGUAGGGGAGCGUUCUGUAAGCCGUUGAAGGUGUGCUGUGAGGCAUGCUGGAGGUAUCAGAAGUGCGAAUGCUGACAUAAGUAACGAUAAAGCGGGUGAAAAGCCCGCUCGCCGGAAGACCAAGGGUUCCUGUCCAACGUUAAUCGGGGCAGGGUGAGUCGACCCCUAAGGCGAGGCCGAAAGGCGUAGUCGAUGGGAAACAGGUUAAUAUUCCUGUACUUGGUGUUACUGCGAAGGGGGGACGGAGAAGGCUAUGUCAGCCGGGCGACGGUUGUCCCGGUUUAAGCAUGUAGGCGGAGGUUCCAGGUAAAUCCGGUACCUUGUUAACGCUGAGGUGUGAUGACGAGGCACUACGGUGCUGAAGUGAUAAAUGCCCUGCUUCCAGGAAAAGCCUCUAAGCAUCAGGUAACACGAAAUCGUACCCCAAACCGACACAGGUGGUCAGGUAGAGAAUACCAAGGCGCUUGAGAGAACUCGGGUGAAGGAACUAGGCAAAAUGGUGCCGUAACUUCGGGAGAAGGCACGCUGAUAUGUAGGUGAAGUCCCUGCGGACGGAGCUGAAAUCAGUCGAAGAUACCAGCUGGCUGCAACUGUUUAUUAAAAACACAGCACUGUGCAAACACGAAAGUGGACGUAUACGGUGUGACGCCUGCCCGGUGCCGGAAGGUUAAUUGAUGGGGUUAGCGGCAACGCGAAGCUCUUGAUCGAAGCCCCGGUAAACGGCGGCCGUAACUAUAACGGUCCUAAGGUAGCGAAAUUCCUUGUCGGGUAAGUUCCGACCUGCACGAAUGGCGUAAUGAUGGCCAGGCUGUCUCCACCCGAGACUCAGUGAAAUUGAACUCGCUGUGAAGAUGCAGUGUACCCGCGGCAAGACGGAAAGACCCCGUGAACCUUUACUAUAGCUUGACACUGAACACUGGUCCUUGAUGUGUAGGAUAGGUGGGAGGCUUUGAAGCGUGGACGCCAGUCUGCGUGGAGCCGUCCUUGAAAUACCACCCUUUAAUGGCUGGUGUUCUAACGUAGACCCGUGAUCCGGGUUGCGGACAGUGUCUGGUGGGUAGUUUGACUGGGGCGGUCUCCUCCCAAAGAGUAACGGAGGAGCACGAAGGUUGGCUAAUCCUGGUCGGACAUCAGGAGGUUAGUGCAAUGGCAUAAGCCAGCUUGACUGCGAGCGUGACGGCGCGAGCAGGUGCGAAAGCAGGUCAUAGUGAUCCGGUGGUUCUGAAUGGAAGGGCCAUCGCUCAACGGAUAAAAGGUACUCCGGGGAUAACAGGCUGAUACCGCCCAAGAGUUCAUAUCGACGGCGGUGUUUGGCACCUCGAUGUCGGCUCAUCACAUCCUGGGGCUGAAGUAGGUCCCAAGGGUAUGGCUGUUCGCCAUUUAAAGUGGUACGCGAGCUGGGUUUAGAACGUCGUGAGACAGUUCGGUCCCUAUCUGCCGUGGGCGCUGGAGAAUUGAGGGGGGCUGCUCCUAGUACGAGAGGACCGGAGUGGACGCAUCACUGGUGUUCGGGUUGUCAUGCCAAUGGCACUGCCCGGUAGCUAAAUGCGGAAGAGAUAAGUGCUGAAAGCAUCUAAGCACGAAACUUGCCCCGAGAUGAGUUCUCCCUGAGACUUUAAGUCUCCUGAAGGAACGUUGAAGACGACGACGUUGAUAGGUCGGGUGUGUAAGCGCAGCGAUGCGUUGAGCUAACCGAUACUAAUGAACCGUGAGGCUUAACCUUACAACGCCGAAGCUGUU